GACGAACGCUGGCGGCGUGCCUAAUACAUGCAAGUUGAGCGCUGAAGGUUGGUCCUUGUACCAACUGGACGAGCAGCGAACGGGUGAGUAACGCGUGGGGAAUCUGCCUUUGAGCGGGGGACAACACUUGGCAACGAAUGCUAAUACCGCAUAAAACCUCUAAACACUAGUUUAAAGUAUGAAAGAUGCAAUUGCAUCACUCAAAGAUGAUCCCGCGUUGUAUUAGCUAGUUGGUGAGGUAAAGGCUCACCAAGGCGAUGAUACAUAGCCGACCUGAGAGGGGGAUCGGCCACAUUGGGACUGACACACGCCCCAAACUCCUACGGGAGGCAGCAGUAGGGAAUCUUCGGCAAUGGACGAAAGUCUUACCCAGCAACGCCGCGUGAGUCAAGAAGGUUUUCGGAUCGUAAAACUCUGUUGGUAGAGAAGACCGUUGGUGAGAGUGGAAAGCUCAUCAAGUGACGGUAACUACCCAGAAACGGGCGGCGAACUACUC
Molecule: ribosomal RNA, 496 nt
Filed under: uncultured bacterium
Lineage: Bacteria
Description: partial 16S ribosomal RNA
Rfam family: Bacterial small subunit ribosomal RNA
Source: RNAcentral